UACGUAGGGGGCAAGCGUUGUCCGGAAUUAUUGGGCGUAAAGAGCGUGUAGGCGGCUCGGUAAGUCUGCUGUGAAAGUCCAAGGCUCAACCUUGGAAUGCCGGUGGAUACUGUCGGGCUAGAGUCCGGAAGAGGCGAGUGGAAUUCCCGGUGUAGCGGUGAAAUGCGCAGAUAUCGGGAGGAACACCAAUGGCGAAGGCGAAUCCCUGGAAAAUACCUGACACUGAGGCACGAAAGCUAGGGGAGCAAACAGG
This 253-nucleotide ribosomal RNA is filed under the name uncultured bacterium. RNAcentral describes it as "partial 16S ribosomal RNA". It matches the Rfam family "Bacterial small subunit ribosomal RNA", at positions 524 to 776 of the family's 1533-position model. The record is from RNAcentral.